GAUGAACGCUGGCGGCGUGCCUAAUACAUGCAAGUCGAGCGAACGGACGAGAAGCUUGCUUCUCUGAUGUUAGCGGCGGACGGGUGAGUAACACGUGGAUAACCUACCUAUAAGACUGGGAUAACUUCGGGAAACCGGAGCUAAUACCGGAUGAUAUUUUGAACCGCAUGGUUCAAAAGUGAAAGACGGUCUUGCUGUCACUUAUAGAUGGAUCCGCGCUGCAUUAGCUAGUUGGUAAGGUAACGGCUUACCAAGGCAACGAUGCAUAGCCGACCUGAGAGGGUGAUCCGCCACACUGGAACUGAGACACGGUCCAGACUCCUACGGGAGGCAGCAGUAGGGAAUCUUCCGCAAUGGGCGAAAGCCUGACGGAGCAACGCCGCGUGAGUGAUGAAGGUCUUCGGAUCGUAAAGCUCUGUUAUUAGGGAAGAACAUAUGUGUAAGUAACUGUGCACAUCUUGACGGUACCUAAUCAGAAAGCAACGGCUAACUACGUG
This 497-nucleotide ribosomal RNA is filed under the name uncultured bacterium. RNAcentral describes it as "partial 16S ribosomal RNA". It matches the Rfam family "Bacterial small subunit ribosomal RNA", at positions 28 to 507 of the family's 1533-position model. The record is from RNAcentral.